GGGGUUGUGGCUCAGUGGUAGAGCGCUCACCUAGCACGUGAGAGGGGCUGGGUUCAAUCCUCAAUACCACA
Molecule: transfer RNA, 71 nt
Filed under: Marmota monax (woodchuck)
Lineage: Eukaryota; Metazoa; Chordata; Mammalia; Rodentia; Sciuridae
Description: tRNA.Ala
Rfam family: tRNA
About the family: Transfer RNA (tRNA) molecules are approximately 80 nucleotides in length. Their secondary structure includes four short double-helical elements and three loops (D, anti-codon, and T loops). Further hydrogen bonds mediate the characteristic L-shaped molecular structure. tRNAs have two regions of fundamental functional importance: the anti-codon, which is responsible for specific mRNA codon recognition, and the 3' end, to which the tRNAs corresponding amino acid is attached (by aminoacyl-tRNA synthetases). tRNAs cope with the degeneracy of the genetic code in two manners: having more than one tRNA (with a specific anti-codon) for a particular amino acid; and 'wobble' base-pairing, i.e. permitting non-standard base-pairing at the 3rd anti-codon position.
Source: RNAcentral